CCUACGGGGGGCUGCAGUGUGGAAUAUUGGACAAUGGGGGGAACCCUGAUCCAGCCAUGCCGCGUGUGUGAAGAAGGCCCUCGGGUUGUAAAGCACUUUCAGUGAGGAAGAACGCCUGGUGGUUAAUACCCAUCAGGAAAGACAUCACUCACAGAAGAAGCACCGGCUAACUCCGUGCCAGCAGCCGCGGUAAUACGGAGGGUGCGAGCGUUAAUCGGAAUUACUGGGCGUAAAGCGCGCGUAGGUGGCUUGAUAAGCCGGUUGUGAAAGCCCCGGGCUCAACCUGGGAACGGCAUCCGGAACUGUCAAGCUAGAGUGCAGGAGAGGAAGGUAGAAUUCCCGGUGUAGCGGUGAAAUGCGUAGAGAUCGGGAGGAAUACCAGUGGCGAAGGCGGCCUUCUGGACUGACACUGACACUGAGGUGCGAAAGCGUGGGUAGCAAACAGGAUUAGAUACCCUAGUAGUC
This 465-nucleotide ribosomal RNA is filed under the name Vreelandella stevensii. Its description in RNAcentral is "partial 16S ribosomal RNA". It matches the Rfam family "Bacterial small subunit ribosomal RNA", at positions 338 to 795 of the family's 1533-position model. The record is from RNAcentral. Lineage: Bacteria; Pseudomonadati; Pseudomonadota; Gammaproteobacteria; Oceanospirillales; Halomonadaceae.